RNAcentral lists this long non-coding RNA (807 nucleotides) under Marmota monax (woodchuck). Lineage: Eukaryota; Metazoa; Chordata; Mammalia; Rodentia; Sciuridae. The record is from RNAcentral.
UGGCAUCUCUGUUCUACACCAUUUUCAUGAAACCCAGUCAAUCAAGGCACUCUCUGGUAUACUCAUGAUCAGCAACAGGACAUACAAAGAUUCUCCAGUGCCACCUGGUCAUGGGAAUUUCAAAAAUUUCACAGUAUUUAUCUAGCCAUUUUUUAAGGAUGAAGUUGGAGAAACUGUGGGUUUCAAUUCAUUCAGGAACCAUUAAAUAUUGAAGAAGCACAUUUCAAGGAAAGCUCUGGAGAACUCUCAGAGGCAAGGCUUCCCAAAGAGUGGCCAAAAGGACACAUGAAGCAAGGCCCAUUUAGGUCUACAAUGUAAGGUCCUUGUGUGUUUUGAUGCUCAAAUAUGGCUGCCUAGUCUUUCAGAAUAAAAUCAUGUGAUAUCCUGGCUGAGAUUGACAGUGCUCAGUGGAAAGCCACCCUGGGCUUAGAUCUCAGUUUCCAAGGGUGACUCUCAUGUGUGGCCUCCUAAAAUCCCAACAAAAUUCAUGGCAAUACUUCUCUGAGGUCCGUUCCAUAAUUCAGUCUCUAAGGGGAAUCACACCAGAGUUCAAGCCUAGGUGGACCCAGGCAUCUCUUCCAACCACCACACAAAUGACCACAAUUAAAACCAAAACACUCCCACAUGGCCCUCAACAUCUUCCACAUAGACACUCAUCAUAACCUCUGGCUGGAGGUUUCCAUGAGGGGUGCAGCCCAAGACAGUGUCCAAAAUAAGCUCCCUUGCCCAUCACUUCUCUAAAGUCAGGGUGGCCUGUACACCCGUCCAGUGAACCAGGAGUGAUCAAAUAGGCCUGCUCUAUAACUG